UACGAAGGGGGCUAGCGUUGCUCGGAAUCACUGGGCGUAAAGGGUGCGUAGGCGGGUCUUUAAGUCAGGGGUGAAAUCCUGGAGCUCAACUCCAGAACUGCCUUUGAUACUGAGGAUCUUGAGUUCGGGAGAGGUGAGUGGAACUGCGAGUGUAGAGGUGAAAUUCGUAGAUAUUCGCAAGAACACCAGUGGCGAAGGCGGCUCACUGGCCCGUUACUGACGCUGAGGCACGAAAGCGUGGGGAGCAAACAGG
RNAcentral lists this ribosomal RNA (253 nucleotides) under uncultured bacterium. RNAcentral describes it as "partial 16S ribosomal RNA". It matches the Rfam family "Bacterial small subunit ribosomal RNA", at positions 524 to 776 of the family's 1533-position model. The record is from RNAcentral.